This 334-nucleotide long non-coding RNA is filed under the name Vitis vinifera (wine grape). Its description in RNAcentral is "long non-coding RNA (VVIN_LNC000664)". The record is from RNAcentral. Lineage: Eukaryota; Viridiplantae; Streptophyta; Magnoliopsida; Vitales; Vitaceae.
CUCAUCGACGUACUUCUGAUAGAAGGCAACGAGGGCUUUGGCAAUGCUUUGGCGGAUUGCGUAAAUCUGGGAGGUGUGACCACCACCUUUCACGCGGAUGCGCAUGUCAACGCCGGCGAAACGGUGGCGACCGAGAAGGAGGAUGGGCUCCACCGCCUUGUAGCGGAGGAUCUCGGGCUCCACCAGCUCGAUUGGGCAGCCGUUGAUCUUGAUGAGGCCUCGGCCGCGCUUACAGUAGGUGACAGCCACGGCGGUCUUCUUCCGCCCAAAGCACUGGACUGAUUCCACAGGAGAUGCCAUUAUCGCAAGCAAGUCCUAACCCUAACCCUAACCC